Molecule: long non-coding RNA, 1452 nt
Filed under: Elaeis guineensis (African oil palm)
Lineage: Eukaryota; Viridiplantae; Streptophyta; Magnoliopsida; Arecales; Arecaceae
Description: long non-coding RNA (EGUI_LNC079450)
Source: RNAcentral
CUCUAGCGUUAAAUCCCCAACUGCCUUCUUUCCAUCCGUUGGACGAGGUACCUAACAUUGAAGAUGAUGAUGGUGACUCAAAGAGAUCAAGGGUGAAGUAUCUAGGUUUAUUCUACGAACAACACCAGAUUUCACUCUUCUCUUCCCCUUCCUUUCUUCCAGCAGUUGACCGGCAAGUCAUUAAGUAGUGUGACUUAGAUGGUUCAAUAGUUUAACUGUUCGAGUCACCGGUUUGAGCAGGAUUCAGUCUCUUAAACUUUGGAAUGACUGGACCCAUAAAGCCUGGCAGAUGAUGGGUUGAUUGGGUUGAGAGGAGCAGAUUGACUAGGUCUCCAAACACUGCUCCAAACUAACUAGGUCCUGCUUUAUGCAGACUCAUUCACCAAGCAUUCCUACUUAAAUUAAUUAAAAAAUAAAGUGAUGCAUAUUAGAAUGCCCAUGCGUUCUAUUGAAAUUAAUGGCAAAGUGAUGGAGCAUUAGGUCUUAUGAAUUAAUUAAAACUUUAUUUCUUGAGUCCUACAUUUCAUUAUCUUGUAAGAUCAAAUCAAGGUUUUGACUAUUGAUCGAUUUUGGCCCUUACCAAUGAAGAAAUGGCACUUGGACUUGGAACACCAUGCAUGCCCGGUUCGAGGAAACAUGGCUGAACCAAAGGGUAUUGCUCAAUUCAAUUGGCACUCAAGAUAUACUGACAGCCAGUUACAAGUAUUGAGUCAACAAAGGUAUUCCAACUUUCUUUCCUUCCUUCCCAUUUCACCCAUUCCACUUUUUUAACCCACUUCAUUUAGAGUUGAAGCAAGAGUGAGGGAAUUUUGCUCCCAUCCGGCGAACUCAAAGCAGUUUUUUUGGUUGAACUAAAACAAAGAAACACAUCAAUCCAAGAUAGUCAACGGUGCACACUAUCUCUAUUUAAUUUUAUUUCAAUGUAACACGGGCUAAGAAAUUAUCAUAUAUUGAAAAAACUUGCUAGAAUACUCUGCUCAGUUUAUUCUCAAAUAUGUUCUAGUUUUAACACCAACCUAUUUUCCAAAUUUCUUCUUGUUAAUAUUAAUUUGUGCAUAAAAUAAUUAGUCAAAAUAAAAGAAAAGUUAUUUCUUAAAAAUAAAAAAUAAAAAUAAAGAGUAGCAUCCUUGCAGCAUGGAUGUCCAUACGCCUACUAGAGCAUGCUCCCAUUGCAUUAAUUUUGGGCACAUAAGGGACUACCUGAAUCUAUGCCCAUAAUUAUGUAAUUUUAGAACCACCCAAUCAAAACUAACCCUAAACUAACCUCAUUCCCAACAGCAUUUGUAUAAACAAGAAAAUAUGCCAGCUGGUAUGCUGACACCAACUACCGUACCAUGUUUGCACCAUACCAUAUUGGCAUCAGUAUCAAGAUUUUAAAUGGUGGACCAAGUACAAUCUUAGUUGAUUCAAUUUAUUGGUGGAACAAGAUAAAGUCAAGUUGUUGGCUUGUUG